GGCGGCACAGGGCUAUAAUUCCUGCUAUUUGAAAGGCAGAAACAAGAGGAUCAGGGUUUAAGACCUUACCUCAUAAAACAAAGUGGGAAUAAUGGCAUUCUAAUAGCCACUACCUGGAAGGCUAAAGGUAGGAUGAUUGUAGUCAGAGGCUGGCUGGG
Molecule: long non-coding RNA, 158 nt
Organism: Perognathus longimembris pacificus (Pacific pocket mouse)
Lineage: Eukaryota; Metazoa; Chordata; Mammalia; Rodentia; Heteromyidae
Exons: 2
Source: RefSeq, a predicted model, not a curated record